GCUGGGUGUGGUGGCGCGUGCCUGUAGUCCCAGGUACUUGGGAGGCUGAGGAGGGAGGAUCACUUGAGUCCAGGAGUUCUGGGCUGUAGUGCGCUAUGCCGAUCUGGUGUCCGCACUCAGUUCGGCAUCAAUAUGGUGACCCCCCUGGGAGCAAGGGACCACCAGGUUCCCUAAGGAGGGGUGGACUGGCCCAGGUCGGAAACGGAGCAGGUGGAAACUCCCGUGCUGAUCAGUAGUUGUUUUGGGCCUGUGAAUAGCCACAGUACUCUGGCCUGGGCAACCUAGUGAGACCCCGUCUCU
This 300-nucleotide signal recognition particle RNA is filed under the name Cebus imitator (Panamanian white-faced capuchin). Its description in RNAcentral is "Metazoan signal recognition particle RNA (ENSCCAG00000007397.1)". It matches the Rfam family "Metazoan signal recognition particle RNA". Rfam says of the family: The signal recognition particle (SRP) is a universally conserved ribonucleoprotein. It is involved in the co-translational targeting of proteins to membranes. The eukaryotic SRP consists of a 300-nucleotide 7S RNA and six proteins: SRPs 72, 68, 54, 19, 14, and 9. Lineage: Eukaryota; Metazoa; Chordata; Mammalia; Primates; Cebidae. The record is from RNAcentral.